This 351-nucleotide ribosomal RNA is filed under the name uncultured bacterium. Its description in RNAcentral is "bacterial SSU rRNA". It matches the Rfam family "Bacterial small subunit ribosomal RNA", at positions 29 to 359 of the family's 1533-position model. The record is from RNAcentral.
AACGAACGCUGGCGGCGUGGAUAAGACAUGCAAGUCGAACGGGAUAACAUCUGUAGCAAUACAGGUGUUAUUUAGUGGCGAACGGGUGCGUAACACGUGGGCAAUCUGCCGAGAAGUGGGGGAGUAGCUCGCCGAAAGGACGGAAUUAAUACCGCAUAUGAUCAGCUAAGACAUCUUAGCGACAUCAAAGACCGGGGCGAACCUGGCGCUUCUUGAUGAGCCCGCCGGCCUAUCAGCUAGUUGGUGAGGUAACGGCUCACCAAGGCUAUGACGGGUAGCUGGUCUGAGAGGACGACCAGUCACACUGGAACUGAGACACGGUCCAGACACCUACGGGUGGCAGCAGUCGAG